GGGUAGAUAGCUCAGUGGUAGAGCACAUGCUUAGCAAGCACAAGGUCCUGGAUUCAAUCCCCAGCACCUU
RNAcentral lists this transfer RNA (70 nucleotides) under Camelus bactrianus (Bactrian camel). It matches the Rfam family "tRNA". Rfam says of the family: Transfer RNA (tRNA) molecules are approximately 80 nucleotides in length. Their secondary structure includes four short double-helical elements and three loops (D, anti-codon, and T loops). Further hydrogen bonds mediate the characteristic L-shaped molecular structure. tRNAs have two regions of fundamental functional importance: the anti-codon, which is responsible for specific mRNA codon recognition, and the 3' end, to which the tRNAs corresponding amino acid is attached (by aminoacyl-tRNA synthetases). tRNAs cope with the degeneracy of the genetic code in two manners: having more than one tRNA (with a specific anti-codon) for a particular amino acid; and 'wobble' base-pairing, i.e. permitting non-standard base-pairing at the 3rd anti-codon position. RNAcentral also lists the same sequence under 1 other name. The record is from Rfam by way of RNAcentral. Lineage: Eukaryota; Metazoa; Chordata; Mammalia; Artiodactyla; Camelidae.